GUGGGGGGGGUCCGUGUUUGCGAUCUGAACCUUUGGUACCUACAAGGAGGGUGUCUCACCGAACGGUAGCUAAGAUCUCACCAGAACCGCGCGGAAGUGAGGAGUCGCGGCCAAAGGCGCCCGCUGGAGCCUCCUCUCUGGGCCGGACCCCAGCCCGAGCCGCGAAAGGAGCCCCCCGCCCGGAUCACAGCAGCUGCAGCUGCCGCUGAAAUUCGCUGUGGCCGCUGCCUCUUCCCGCUUUAAUCCCAGACCUCCAGUCAUUGGGCAGCUCCUCAGAGGCAAGAAGUCAACACCAUGGCAACCCGACAAGCCUAUCAAAUCACGGGCUGGCGUGACAGCAGCAACACUGCAGGCAGAAGUGGGCUGGGCGGAAGAGCAGAGUGGCCACUGCGCUCAGGGUGCUGUGAAGACCAGAAUUGGGCCAAUGCAGUUUGCUUUCAACUAUCAUGGUGGAAACAGAGAACAUCAGAGAGGAAUAAAACGAUUCCAUCAUUUUUAUGUGACUCAUAUGCAAAACAAAAUUUGCUCAUCUGUGUGGUCUACUGAUUGGAAAUAAAAUCAGAUAUUUCAUCUAACUUCAUCAAGUAAAAGAAAAAUCAGUGUGAUUCCAAGAAGAGAUGAACUCAUUUGAAAAAUCACACAGAAUGAGAAAUAACCAUGGAGGGACAACCAUUUUACUCUGGAAGAGAAUCCUUACUCACACACCUUUUGAAAUUAUUUUUAGCACAUGGUCUUGGGUUUUCAGUCUUUGAACUUCUUCUAUGACACAGGGACAAACUCAAAAACCCGAAAACUGCAGAAGUCAGAUACUGGAAAACUCUAAUAAAAGUGGACAUGUUUGACAGCUGACAAACAUGAGUUUGAUGAAGCAUGACAAAUAUUGAUGUGUUUCAUGAAUAUGUGUGUGUCUUUUGAGAGAACUUGAUCACUAAGAUGGAUGAAAGGCAGAUCACUAAUAAAUCUCUGUUUUUAACUUUGAAAAGAGGAAAGAAAUAUGAAGAGUUAAGAAGAGAAGUACUAUCAAACAGCUGAAUUCUUAGUUGGCAAAAUUUACACCAAAUCCUUUUGAGUGUACACCCAAUCUGAAAUUGUCUUUUUGCUUUACUUAUUUCCUUCUUUGUUUUAUCUCUUUAUUUAGAAUGUCAGAUCCAAAAUGGCAAGGAUCCUGUAUAUUUUGCUCAUCACUUUAACCCAUUUCCGAAUGCCUAAGGCCAUUGUAUGUGCUCAGUAAAAAAUUAUUCAGUGAAUGAAUGAAUGAAUGAAUGGAGUGAAGAAAUUUUGAUUCCGAUUUUUGCUUGCAACUAAAUAGCUGGAAGACUUUGGGAUAAUCACUUCUUAGAGGGUCAUUUUUUUCACUUUUAAAAUCAUGGCAUAGGGGGUGCCUGGUUGGCUCAGUGAGUAGAGUAUGUGACUCUUGAUCUUGAGGUCACAAGGGUUUGAACUUCAAGCCCUACACUGGGCAUAGAACCUACUUAAGUAAGAAAACAAAUGAUGGUAUAGCCUAGUUAGCUAAUAUUUCUUGCAAUACUAAUAUUCAUUGAUGGCACACAUGAUAACCACCUAAUGGUUUUACAGGAAAUUUCACUUAUGUGACGGAUUUUAUUUGACCAAUCUUUGUUGUUGUUGUUGUUUAUGGAACACUUAUCCAAGAUGAAAUUAUUUAUGAUGUUAAUUAUCAAUGCUCUUUUUAAUGUCUGCUUUU
Molecule: RNA transcript, 1702 nt
Organism: Lutra lutra (Eurasian river otter)
Lineage: Eukaryota; Metazoa; Chordata; Mammalia; Carnivora; Mustelidae
Gene name: vegetative cell wall protein gp1-like
Exons: 5
Source: RefSeq, a predicted model, not a curated record